Molecule: ribosomal RNA, 255 nt
Filed under: uncultured bacterium
Lineage: Bacteria
Description: partial 16S ribosomal RNA
Rfam family: Bacterial small subunit ribosomal RNA
Source: RNAcentral
UACGGGGGGGACUAACGUUAUUCAUCAUAACUGGGUGUAAAGGGUACGUAGGCGGCUCUUUAAGUCUUUAUUAAAAAAUCUAUGCAUAACUUAGAAAUUAAUUUUGAUACUGAGGAGCUUGGAGGUCAAUGUAGGUUAGUUAUAUUCUUGGGGUAAAAGUAAAAUCUUGAGAUAUCAAGAGGAUAACCGCGUGGUUAAUGCGACUUUCUAAAUUGAUGCUGACGCUGAGGUACGAAGGCAUGGGCAUCAAACGGG